AAACGACUCUCGGCAACGGAUAUCUCGGCUCACGCAUCGAUGAAGAACGUAGCAAAAUGCGAUACUUGGUGUGAAUUGCAGAAUCCCGUGAACCAUCGAGUUUUUGAACGCAAGUUGCGCCCGAAGCCUUGGCUAAGGGCACGUCUGCCUGGGCGUCACGUA
RNAcentral lists this ribosomal RNA (162 nucleotides) under Sphagneticola trilobata. RNAcentral's name for it is "5.8S ribosomal RNA". It matches the Rfam family "5.8S ribosomal RNA". Rfam says of the family: 5.8S ribosomal RNA (5.8S rRNA) is a component of the large subunit of the eukaryotic ribosome. It is transcribed by RNA polymerase I as part of the 45S precursor that also contains 18S and 28S rRNA. Lineage: Eukaryota; Viridiplantae; Streptophyta; Magnoliopsida; Asterales; Asteraceae. The record is from RNAcentral.